CUCCAAGUGGCAUCAGAAGCAUGUCAUGUGGAGGGGACCUUUCCUUGAAACGUCCAGUUUGAACUGGUGUGCUGGGGCCGCAGCCUUCCCUCUCUUCAGUACCUGCCUAACCUCUCAGGGUUCCACGGGAGUAUGGGAGGGGAGUUCCGUGACACCGGGAGUGUCUGCUUCUCUAAGUUUUCUCCUGAGUUCCUCCACACCCUCUGCCACUCAAUGUUACCCGGCUUUGCAGAAGAUCCCGCCGACCGAUACUGAUACUGAAAAGCACAUUCCGAAAACAUGACAGUGUGAACAAUGUGAUUGUGUUGGUUGGGACGUUCCAGAAAUGUCCAGAGAUGUUGAGGGGGAGAAAAGGAAAAGCGUGGGAGGAGGGAAGCUUGGAAACCUGUUGAAACAUCUCUCUACCCCUCAACAGAUUUGCUGGGAAGGCAGUGGGGGGCAUACAAGCAUUAGCAGCCUCGGGAGUGUAACUUUUGAGGCUCAAACCGUGGCACGCUGUAAAUAAAGGCCAGACGGGGGACCCAGCUGUGCUUUUGGGGCUGUUGUAUGUAUACAUCGUACAGUGAUGGGCACGCUCUGGGCAGCGUCUGCCAGUACGCCUCUCCCAAUCCUCUUGCAUUUUAACAUUCUUCAGGGAUGGUCAUAAAG
This is a non-coding RNA of Phasianus colchicus (ring-necked pheasant), 648 nucleotides long. The record is from RefSeq and is a predicted model, not a curated record. NCBI's taxonomy places the organism in Eukaryota, Metazoa, Chordata, Aves, Galliformes, Phasianidae.